Molecule: ribosomal RNA, 2485 nt
Filed under: human gut metagenome
Description: bacterial LSU rRNA
Rfam family: Bacterial large subunit ribosomal RNA
Source: RNAcentral
AGCGUACACGGUGGAUGCCCUGGCAGUCAGAGGCGAUGAAGGACGUGCUAAUCUGCGAUAAGCGUCGGUGAGGUGAUAUGAACCGUUAUAACCGGCGAUUUCCGAAUGGGGAAACCCAGUGUGUUUCGACACACUAUCAUUAACUGAAUCCAUAGGUUAAUGAGGCGAACCGGGGGAACUGAAACAUCUAAGUACCCCGAGGAAAAGAAAUCAACCGAGAUUCCCCCAGUAGCGGCGAGCGAACGGGGAGCAGCCCAGAGCCUGAAUCAGUGUGUGUGUUAGUGGAAGCGUCUGGAAAGGCGCGCGAUACAGGGUGACAGCCCCGUACACAAAAAUGCACAUGCUGUGAGCUCGAUGAGUAGGGCGGGACACGUGGUAUCCUGUCUGAAUAUGGGGGGACCAUCCUCCAAGGCUAAAUACUCCUGACUGACCGAUAGUGAACCAGUACCGUGAGGGAAAGGCGAAAAGAACCCCGGCGAGGGGAGUGAAAAAGAACCUGAAACCGUGUACGUACAAGCAGUGGGAGCCUCUUUAUGGGGUGACUGCGUACCUUUUGUAUAAUGGGUCAGCGACUUAUAUUCUGUAGCAAGGUUAACCGAAUAGGGGAGCCGAAGGGAAACCGAGUCUUAACUGGGCGUUAAGUUGCAGGGUAUAGACCCGAAACCCGGUGAUCUAGCCAUGGGCAGGUUGAAGGUUGGGUAACACUAACUGGAGGACCGAACCGACUAAUGUUGAAAAAUUAGCGGAUGACUUGUGGCUGGGGGUGAAAGGCCAAUCAAACCGGGAGAUAGCUGGUUCUCCCCGAAAGCUAUUUAGGUAGCGCCUCGUGAAUUCAUCUCCGGGGGUAGAGCACUGUUUCGGCAAGGGGGUCAUCCCGACUUACCAACCCGAUGCAAACUGCGAAUACCGGAGAAUGUUAUCACGGGAGACACACGGCGGGUGCUAACGUCCGUCGUGAAGAGGGAAACAACCCAGACCGCCAGCUAAGGUCCCAAAGUCAUGGUUAAGUGGGAAACGAUGUGGGAAGGCCCAGACAGCCAGGAUGUUGGCUUAGAAGCAGCCAUCAUUUAAAGAAAGCGUAAUAGCUCACUGGUCGAGUCGGCCUGCGCGGAAGAUGUAACGGGGCUAAACCAUGCACCGAAGCUGCGGCAGCGACGCUUAUGCGUUGUUGGGUAGGGGAGCGUUCUGUAAGCCUGCGAAGGUGUGCUGUGAGGUAUGCUGGAGGUAUCAGAAGUGCGAAUGCUGACAUAAGUAACGAUAAAGCGGGUGAAAAGCCCGCUCGCCGGAAGACCAAGGGUUCCUGUCCAACGUUAAUCGGGGCAGGGUGAGUCGACCCCUAAGGCGAGGCCGAAAGGCGUAGUCGAUGGGAAACAGGUUAAUAUUCCUGUACUUGGUGUUACUGCGAAGGGGGGACGGAGAAGGCUAUGUUGGCCGGGCGACGGUUGUCCCGGUUUAAGCGUGUAGGCUGAUUUUCCAGGCAAAUCCGGAAAAUCAAGGCUGAGGCGUGAUGACGAGGCACUACGGUGCUGAAGCAACAAAUGCCCUGCUUCCAGGAAAAGCCUCUAAGCAUCAGGUAACAUCAAAUCGUACCCCAAACCGACACAGGUGGUCAGGUAGAGAAUACCAAGGCGCUUGAGAGAACUCGGGUGAAGGAACUAGGCAAAAUGGUGCCGUAACUUCGGGAGAAGGCACGCUGAUAUGUAGGUGAAGCGACUUGCUCGUGGAGCUGAAAUCAGUCGAAGAUACCAGCUGGCUGCAACUGUUUAUUAAAAACACAGCACUGUGCAAACACGAAAGUGGACGUAUACGGUGUGACGCCUGCCCGGUGCCGGAAGGUUAAUUGAUGGGGUUAGCGGUAACGCGAAGCUCUUGAUCGAAGCCCCGGUAAACGGCGGCCGUAACUAUAACGGUCCUAAGGUAGCGAAAUUCCUUGUCGGGUAAGUUCCGACCUGCACGAAUGGCGUAAUGAUGGCCAGGCUGUCUCCACCCGAGACUCAGUGAAAUUGAACUCGCUGUGAAGAUGCAGUGUACCCGCGGCAAGACGGAAAGACCCCGUGAACCUUUACUAUAGCUUGACACUGAACAUUGAGCCUUGAUGUGUAGGAUAGGUGGGAGGCUUUGAAGUGUGGACGCCAGUCUGCAUGGAGCCGGCCUUGAAAUACCACCCUUUAAUGUUUGAUGUUCUAACGUUGGCCCCUGAUCGGGGUUGCGGACAGUGUCUGGUGGGUAGUUUGACUGGGGCGGUCUCCUCCUAAAGAGUAACGGAGGAGCACGAAGGUUGGCUAAUCCUGGUCGGACAUCAGGAGGUUAGUGCAAUGGCAUAAGCCAGCUUGACUGCGAGCGUGACGGCGCGAGCAGGUGCGAAAGCAGGUCAUAGUGAUCCGGUGGUUCUGAAUGGAAGGGCCAUCGCUCAACGGAUAAAAGGUACUCCGGGGAUAACAGGCUGAUACCGCCCAAGAGUUCAUAUCGACGGCGGUGUUUGGCA